Cloacibacillus evryensis DSM 19522 is the source of this 104-nucleotide regulatory RNA element. It matches the Rfam family "Glycine riboswitch aptamer". Rfam says of the family: This family represents the bacterial glycine riboswitch. Glycine riboswitches usually consist of two metabolite-binding aptamers domains with similar structures in tandem. The record is from Rfam. Lineage: Bacteria; Thermotogati; Synergistota; Synergistia; Synergistales; Synergistaceae.
AUGAAAGCGGCAAGAGAGACCCGUCCACGUUAUAACAUCAUGGGCGCCGAAGGGGCAAAACCGCGAAGGUUGAAACUCUCAGGCAUAAGGAUUGCCGCCGGACA